GGGUUGUGAGGUUAAGCGACUAAGCGUACACGGUGGAUGCCCUGGCAGUCAGAGGCGAUGAAGGGCGUGCUAAUCUGCGAUAAGCGCCGGUAAGGUGAUAUGAACCGUUAUAACCGGCGAUACCCGAAUGGGGAAACCCAGUGUGACUCGUCACACUAUCAUUAACUGAAUCCAUAGGUUAAUGAGGCGAACCGGGGGAACUGAAACAUCUAAGUACCCCGAGGAAAAGAAAUCAACCGAGAUUCCCCCAGUAGCGGCGAGCGAACGGGGAGGAGCCCAGAGCCUGAAUCAGCAUGUGUGUUAGUGGAAGCGUCUGGAAAGGCGCGCGAUACAGGGUGACAGCCCCGUACACAAAAGCGCAUGUGCUGUGAGCUCGAUGAGUAGGGCGGGACACGUGGUAUCCUGUCUGAAUAUGGGGGGACCAUCCUCCAAGGCUAAAUACUCCUGACUGACCGAUAGUGAACCAGUACCGUGAGGGAAAGGCGAAAAGAACCCCGGCGAGGGGAGUGAAAAAGAACCUGAAACCGUGUACGUACAAGCAGUGGGAGCACCCCCACUAAGCCAGUGGUGAACUCCACAUACGCAUCCUUUGCUGAGGAUACGGUUAACGGAGCGAAAGCGACGU
This 625-nucleotide ribosomal RNA is filed under the name Salmonella enterica subsp. enterica serovar Bovismorbificans. Its description in RNAcentral is "partial 23S ribosomal RNA". It matches the Rfam family "Bacterial large subunit ribosomal RNA", at positions 1 to 643 of the family's 2925-position model. The record is from RNAcentral. Lineage: Bacteria; Pseudomonadati; Pseudomonadota; Gammaproteobacteria; Enterobacterales; Enterobacteriaceae.